CGCAUGACAAACCGAACCAAUCAGGUGAUUCGAAGCAGUUGAGUGCUUCAAACGUCACUGAAGUGAUUCAAACGUCACGAGUCACGUGACCAAAACACGCGUCGGCACAGUGGUUCGAUACGUUCGCUUCAUGAGCUUCUGGCUGCUGUUGACCUUGUUUUUGGAGUAAAACACGGUGGAAGCUGAAUUAGUGAGGAUGACUCCUGCUCCUGUCAUCUCUAAGCUCCUCACACAUCUUUACCUGCACAUGAAGAAAAUCACUCCUGUAGAAUGCAGAUGUUCAGAGGGAGAUGAUGCCACAUCUGGUCCAGCUGAUGGAAGGUCUUGAAGUUCUCUGACUGGCCUCGACUGAAGAUGGUCGUCUCACUGGAUUUAAGAUGCACAAUGAGGGACGUCUGCAGCGACUGAGAAAGAGUCUCACCACAUCCUGACAUGAGGAAAAGACUUUAUUGAAGACUACAAUGAGAAAAACUAUCAGACAGCAGACGACAUGCAUUCAAGAGAGGAAGACCAUCAAACAUCCAUGUCAGCUGAUGGAGGUCCAAGAGUCUCACCGAACAAACAACCUACAGAGUAGUAAUGUGAGGAGACGUGCCGAGGCUUCGAAGCGUGUGCCGAGUAAUGGAGGGGGCGUUUCCACGAAGCGCGUAUCGAGGCUUGCUUUAUUUAGGGGAGGAGCCAAAAUGAUGACGUCCGAAGCCUCGCUGCCUGGCUAAACCACGUGACUGCUUCGGAAAGUGGUUCAGAUUUUGCCCCUCAGGCUCCGUUCAAAAUGUGGGUUUUUGAUAGAGAGUUGCGGUCAGUAUUCUACACGUGAGAAUUUAUCUACAGAAAUUAUUUGGUCAUACAUUUUCUUGUAUUUCAUAGUCAUUCCCAACAGCCAUAACCGAUAAAAUUUCAGUGCAUCAGACAUGUGGUUCAGAUACAGCUGCCUGUGAUUAUACACCUGGCCAGUAGGUGGCUUUGUGUGCUCAUGAAGCUUCAAGAAAUGAACCGUUUCUCGAACCAAUUGGCUCAAGUGGUUCAAUGCCUCAUGAGGCUUCAUCUCACGCUCACUACUACAGAGUGAAGACCUCGAAUCUGAUUGGACGGCCUCCUAUUCAGCCACAUGUGUGAACAAAUGACUCUAAGUUGAUUUAAUUUCUAAAAUAAAUCUAGUUUGAGUUCUAAUCUAUGUCUGUGUGUUUGUUUCUUUACACUGCUGUUAACAGUUUAGGCUGUUAGAUUGUUCCAGAUAAACUCUCUACAAGGAUCCAAAAUAAGUUGGGCUUCUACAUGAGAGCUUUAAUUAUUCUUCAUCUACUUCCUGAAAAGUUUGGUCAAUAAAAAAGACAAAAACUAAUAUUUUCAGUUGAACUAAAGACAGACUGUGAUUUUUCUGCUCACAUGUUGUGUUGUUGUAAACUUACUCUUUCAAAUAAAUACCCAUCUAACCCCUUGGAAACCAGCGUUUGUCCUGUUUUUGUGUUGCUCCUCAGCAACCCUAGACAGCCGGGUCGUAAUGUUUUUUGAGCAACACACCAUACUAUGAUGUUUUUACAAUGAUGGUUCUACUAUGGAACCAGUUUGACAUGUUCAGGUGUUCUUUGUGUGAAAAUUCUGAGAUUUCAGGUAUCAGAAGGUGGUUUUCAACUUUCUUUGUUAACUUUCUGCCUCAACUUGAAACUAAAUUUCCUUCACUAACCCAGCCCUCUGGACUUCCAGUAAGCUGUGUUCCUAUUGGCUGUCCAGGUGGCUGCUUGGUGUUAUCAGAAACACCUGAGCAGCUCAGUGUCUUCCUGCUUUAUUUGGCGACAGUCAAACAUUUCCUCUGCUUCUCUUCACCACAGAACUGGGUUUGGCUCCAUUGCUUUAGUUUGUUCUUUAGGCGUUGGCUUGCAGCUUCCAGCAGUAAAAUCAUCUUUAAUGUGUUUCCUGGUGUGUUUUAGGGCUUUGUACUGGAUAGUUGUCUUGGUAAAUGUGGUUUUUUAGCCACAGUUAGCACAUGGUGCUAAUGUGUGCAGUGAUUAGUGGAUUUGGUGCAGCUGAGUUGUGUCUUUAUCUUGGCUGUAGUGAGUCUUUAGAGGUUUUUGGUCAGACACAUUCUGUAUUCUUGUUUGAGAACCGAUGCUGAUUGUCCAGAAGGUAAGAGUUCCUGUCCUGAUUCUCUGUUCUCAGAGGUUCUCUGGUAGGCUGCAGGAGACUUUAGUGUUUGGGUUGUGCUAGUUUGGUUUUUGUAUGGUUUCAUUUGGAUGACUCUUGAGGCUCCUCCAUGUGGUUUAGUGAGGUUUUCUGCAACAGUUCUACAAAGCAACCUGCAGCAGAAGAGACUUUGAGAGUUUUUAGGAAGUUCUGGAGACCAGACUUUAGAGCAGCAGAAACAUUUGUCAGCAGUUUGAGCAGGAGAAGGUGAGCUUCAGAGUAGAAAUGAGACGGAAACCUUCUUAACCCAUGUGGUGAGGUCCUGUACCAAGAGUUUGAGCAGGUUGUGAAGAGUCUGUCGUUCUCUGGUCUGAAAGCACAAGAAGAGUCGACUCAUUAAAGGAGAAAACAGGAGAUAUU
Molecule: long non-coding RNA, 2541 nt
Organism: Amphiprion ocellaris (clown anemonefish)
Lineage: Eukaryota; Metazoa; Chordata; Actinopteri; Pomacentridae
Source: Ensembl